CAGCAGCCGCGGUAACACCAGCAGCCCAAGUGGUGGUCGCGAUUAUUGGGCCUAAAGCGCUCGUAGCCGGGCCGGUAAGUCCCUUGUGAAAUCGGACGGCCUAACCGUUCGGCGUGCAAGGGAUACUGUCGGUCUUGAGGCCGGGAGACGUCCGAGGUACUCCGGGGGUAGCGGUGAAAUGUUCUGAUCCUCGGGGGACCACCGGUGGCGAAGGCGUUCGACGAGAACGGGCCUGACGGUGAGGGGCGAAGGCUAGGGGAGCAAACGGGAUUAGAUACCCGCGUAGUCCCUGUCUCUUAUA
Molecule: ribosomal RNA, 301 nt
Filed under: uncultured bacterium
Lineage: Bacteria
Description: partial 16S ribosomal RNA
Rfam family: Archaeal small subunit ribosomal RNA
Source: RNAcentral